Molecule: long non-coding RNA, 1210 nt
Filed under: Monodelphis domestica (gray short-tailed opossum)
Lineage: Eukaryota; Metazoa; Chordata; Mammalia; Didelphimorphia; Didelphidae
Description: lncRNA (ENSMODG00000045540.1)
Source: RNAcentral
AUGGAUGGAGAUAUCUAUAAAUACAUACAUUUAUAAAUAUAUACUAUAGAUAUGUGUUUCUUAGUUUCUAGUUUUAAACUCUUUACUCCUAGCCCUCGAUAUUUCAAUCAAUAAUUCUGAGAGAAAAAGAAAUUUGGAAUACAACGUACAAAUAAUUACCCUUGGUUUCCAUGUUCCAUUCUUGAAAAUCCUUGGUGAAUCUGCCUGUUAUCCAACCACACAGUGUGUGAAAGAAUAAAACCAGUCUGGACCACUUCCUUCAUAGUAAGGCCCCAAACACAAAAACUUUCAGGGAUGGGCCCCAACCUCUGUUGUGGUGUCACCAUGAUGUCACCUCAAGUUUUUGUAACCAAGGUGAUUGCAUAUUUGUGCAUUUUGGGCUACUAGUUAGGGACCCCAGGGGCCUAUGACAAUUAAAAGAUACCUAUUACAUUAUAGAAUUAGAGAAUCUAGAAGGUAGAAAGAAUCUUAAAUUACUUCUAAUACAAAUCCCCUUCUGUUGUGCCAGUCCCUUCUACAACAUCCCCUACAAGUAUGAUAGGAAGAAUUUGCUCCAGUUGCCAUUAAGGCAUCUGAAGCAGGUAUUAGACAUUGAAGAUACCAAGAUUGUCCAAUAUACCUCAGGCCAGUGUUGGUGAACCUUUUCCUAGUUCAAGUGCCAGAGAGCAAAUUCAAACUGUCUGUGAGCCCCUGCAUUACUCAAGAGAGCUGAGGAAGUGCUCACUUUGGGCAGCUGGACAGAGGGGCAGGACAUGCAAAAAAUGUCCUCGGGCACUGGGAAGAGGGGGAACAGAGCAGCUCCCUGAGUGCACACAUGCCAUGUCUUUGCCAACGCUGACCUGGCUAUCACCAGUCAACCUGAUUUUCAAUAACUCUGAAAGAGAAAAUAUCUUGAAAAUAACCUCUGUAUCUUCAAAGUUGUGUCAUCACCAUCACAGAUUUCCUCUGCAUGUACACGGUCUGGUUCCUGUUUUCAUUUCUUUAAUGCUCUUUCCACUUCCUCAUACAGCAAAUCUGAGGAUCAAAGUAUUAAAGUCCAGAUGUGGUUGUUCCAUUUUCAUCUGUUCCAUUUUAUAUAUAUUGUCCUUUUACUUUCUUGUGUAAAUGCUCUUGAGAUUAUUUUUAUUAGCUGAGUUUAUGCCAAGCUUUCUGCAGAUCUACUUUUAAUAAUCUUUUAUCAGUUUCCUCUGUAACAUUUUGAAAAUGAGUU